AGUUUGACUGAGCCUCGUUAUAUUCAUUGUGUGAAGCCCAAUAAUCUUCUUAAGCCAGCUAUUUUUGAGAAUAGCAAUGUUCUCAAAAAUAACCUUUAGAUAGUCACUAAAUAGCUAUUUUGGGGGUAAGGAAGGGUAACUUUUACAUGGUGUUGGAAACGAAGCUGGCCGCCUUCUUUUUUUCUUUCAAAUUUUAUUUGUUUUAUGUGUCUCCUUCCAGGGAGUCAAUGAGGCAAUUAGGAUUAGUUGUGCUGGAUAUCCUACAAGAAAACCUUUUUUGGAAUUUGUAGAUCGAUUUGGCAUGCUGGCACCUGAAGUUUUGGAUGGGAGAUUGGUAAGACAGGUGUUUAUAAAGGCUGGUCAAAUGGUAGAACUAAUUUUCUAGGAAUUUUGCACUAAUUUGGAACAUUUGCUCAAAAUAAAAUAAGAGUGUUCUGGGAAUUAUACUUGGAGGUGGAGCUAGGACUCGCAAUUGCUCUCUUACAAAGAAGAAAGCAAAAUCAGCUGUUCCUUUAGGAGCAAAUUAUCACCUGAUUGACAUUUUGGUCAACAAUUGCCUGAACAGCAACAUAUCAAAGAUCUAUGUUCUUACACAAUUCAAUUCUGCAUCUCUAAAUCAUCACCUUUCAUGGGCAUACGCAAGUAACAUGGGUGGCUACAAGAAUGAAGGUUUUGUUGAAGUUCUUGCUGCUUAGCAAAGCCCAGAGAACCCCUAUUGGUUCCAGCCUCUAUGUCUCUGCAUCUACUUCCUCUUUCAUUUCAGAUGAUAUAUUUGGGGGUUGAUACUGCAAAUAGGAACAUCAAUUUUGUCACUGAAAUGUUCACUUCUGGGACUCUAAAACAUUUCUAAGCCUCAGAAAUGACUGAUUUAUUUAAAUGUUCUUCUAGGCAUCCAGACUAGUGAAGAUUACAUAUUCUAUGCUAUAUCAGCUGACUUUAAUGAAUUUAGUAACAAGGACAAGACAUUAAAUUAAAUAAAAACUCAUGGGGUUUGUCUUGAUGUUUUUCCUAUUAUUUUUUGGGGAAUGUUAAAACAUGAUUUGUGGAUAUGUUAUUUUGUAGUUAAUAGUGAUUGUAUAUUAAAUUGAAUGGGAAAGUGAAUUAAUGUUGUAUUUGCUACUUGACAGUUUUUCAUAUAAUCAGCUUAUCUUUUGACAAAUGUUCAUUUGAAUGGGAAUGGGAGUU
This is a non-coding RNA of Camellia sinensis, 1185 nucleotides long. NCBI's taxonomy places the organism in Eukaryota, Viridiplantae, Streptophyta, Magnoliopsida, Ericales, Theaceae. The record is from RefSeq and is a predicted model, not a curated record.